This 441-nucleotide ribosomal RNA is filed under the name uncultured bacterium. RNAcentral describes it as "partial 16S ribosomal RNA". It matches the Rfam family "Bacterial small subunit ribosomal RNA", at positions 338 to 795 of the family's 1533-position model. The record is from RNAcentral.
CCUACGGGAGGCAGCAGUGGGGGAUAUUGCACAAUGGGGGAAACCCUGAUGCAGCGACGCCGCGUGAGUGAAGAAGUAUUUCGGUAUGUAAAGCUCUAUCAGCAGGGAAGAAAAAAGACGGUACCUGACUAAGAAGCCCCGGCUAACGACGUGCAAGCAGCCGCGGUAAGACGUAGGGGGCAAGCGUUAUCCGGAUUUACUGGGUGUAAAGGGAGCGUAGACGGCAAUACAAGUCGGAAGUGAAAUACCCGGGCUCAACCUGGGAACUGCUUUGGAAACUGUAUGGCUAGAGUGCUGGAGAGGUAGGCGGAAUGCCUAGUGUAGCGGUGAAAUGCGUAGAUAUUAGGAGGAACACCAGUGGCGAAGGCGGCUUGCUGGACAGUAACUGACGUUGAGGCUCGAAAGCGUGGGGAGCAAACAGGAUUAGAUACCCGAGUAGUC